AUACGGAGGGUGCAAGCGUUAUCCGGAUUUAUUGGGUUUAAAGGGUGCGUAGGCGGUUUGAUAAGUCAGCGGUGAAAUAUUUCAGCUUAACUGGAAGGGUGCCGUUGAUACUGUCGAGCUUGAAUUUAGUUGCUGUGGGUGGAAUGUGUGGUGUAGCGGUGAAAUGCAUAGAUAUCACACAGAAUAUCGAUUGCGAAGGCAGCUCACAAAGCUAAUAUUGACGCUGAUGCACGAAAGUGUGGGGAUCAAACAGGAUUAGAUACCCUGGUAGUCCACACUGUAAACGAUGAUAACUCGCUGUCGGCGAUACACCGAUCAGUAGCGAAGCGAAAGCGUUAAGUUGUCCACCUGGGGAGUACGACCGCAAGGUUGAAACUCAAAUGAAUUGACGGGG
Molecule: ribosomal RNA, 394 nt
Filed under: uncultured bacterium
Lineage: Bacteria
Description: partial 16S ribosomal RNA
Rfam family: Bacterial small subunit ribosomal RNA
Source: RNAcentral